GUCGUGGACUGAAUUCUAUCCCCCCAAAUUCAUAUAAUGAAGUCCUAAUGCCCCCCAGGAAAAGGACCUUUAAGGGGAAAAUUAAGGUUGAAUGAGGUCAUAAGGGUGGGGCCCUAAUCCAGUAAGAGGAAGAGAUGCCAGGAGUUGCGUGUGCACAGAGGAAAGGCCACGUGAGGACACAGAGGGAAGGUGGCUGUCUGCAAAUCCAGGAGAGAGGCCUCACGAGAAAGCCAUCUUGUUAGCAUCUUGAUCUUGGACUUCCGGCCUCCAGAACUGUGAGAGAACACAUUUCUGUUGUUUAAGCCCCCGGCGUGUGGUAUUUUAUUACGGCAGCCCUAGGACACGGGUACGGCUGCCAACCCAUGACUCACUUUUGUUCCCAUUCCUUUGUAUCUUCUUUCCCCUUGUCCCUCUCUGAUAAGAAAUUAAAUAACAUAUAGAUGUGGUGGUUAAAAAAACAUGUCCAUAAAUCCUUGCUAUACCUCCUUUCCAGAAGAGCUGAACUCCUCUCCCCUUGAGUGAGGGCCAGACUUAGUGACUCUCUUCUGACAAGUAGAAUGAGGUAGAAGUGACUGUGUAUGACUCAGAGGCUCAGUCAUAAAAGGCACUGUGGCUCCCUCUCUCUCUCUCAGAUCACUUCCUUUGAGGGACGCCAGCCACCAUGUUGAGCAGUCCUAUGAAUAGGCCGUUCGAUGAGGAACUAAGGCCUCAAGUCAAUAGCCAUAUGAGGGCGCCAUCUUAGAAGUGGACCCUCCAGCCCCAGUGAAGCUUUCAGGUGACUGCAGCCCUUGCCAACCUCUUGACUGCAACCUCACGAGAGACUCUGGGCCAGAAACAUCCAACUAAGCAGCUCUCAAAUUCCUGAGCAUUAUUCACAAUAGCCAAGACUUGGAAGCAACCUAGGUGCCCAUCAAGGGACGAAUGGAUAAAGAAGAUGUAGUGUAUAUAUACCCGAUGGAAUACUACUCAGCCAUAAGAAAUGAUGAAAUCUGUCCACUUGUGACAACAUGAAUGGACCUUGAGGGCAUUAUGGAGAAGACAAGCUGAAAGAUGGAAGGGUGUGAAGCAGAGCGCGGCUGAACAUAAGGACAGAAAGCGCCUAGAACCUUGCAGACACAACUGAGCGGCUGCAUCAAACCUGGCUUGCCUCCUUCCAAGCUUCUCCUUAGGUGAUCAGGAGCAAGUUUCUUACUCUCUCCAAGCCCCAGUUUCUUCACCUGCAAAGAGAAGGAGAUCAGCAGUCAGGACCCAUUCCCCAGGGCCAUUGUGAGAAAUAAAUAGCAGAACAAUGGUGUUUUUGGACAUUUCUCCAAGAGUGGCCAGAAGACCAUUGCAUCAGAUGAGCACCUGGAGUCUUGUGAAAAACACAAAUUCCAUAGACAUCCUGAAUUUUAAUCUGCAGGGGUGGCGUUGGAGGGGAUGAGAAGAGAAGCCUAGGAUUCUGCAUUUUAAAGGGGCUUCUCAGGGGAUGGUUGACUGGUAAAUUUUAGGAAUCAACUACCUAGGGAAUAGCAAAAUGUUCCCUUAGAUGGGCCAAGGCCUGGGGGAUCUAUUUCUGCUGAAGCUCAUUAAGCCACUUUGGGUUUAUGUUCAUGAGGAAACCACAACCCCAAGACCCAAGUGAGGAAUAAGAACACACAGUUUUGAGAAGAGGAAUUAAGUAAUAACCAACAAUGCUUCCACAUCUAAGAAUUUUUCUAACGUUUCUCCAGUAGGAACACCACAACACGUUUACCCUCUUUCUAUCCUUACUUUGCCUGCAGCACAAGUUUUCUUACAUAUAGAUGCUCAAAAAAUGCCCAUUACAUUGACUUGAAUGUAUUCCCCUUUGAAGAGCCAUACUUUCAACAAGUACUUUCAUAUAUUUUUUACUGGUGGUGUUUGGACAAGCUUACGUGUAUACAUGGGCAAGGGGCAGAAGCGGUGGGUGAACAAAAGUGGGUUUCAUAAACAAGGGAGAUAAAACUUAGCGAGUUCCUGAGGAGACAGGUUGUAGCAGGAAACAUAACUACAAGUUCUCAUUUUGGUUUACUUCCUCUCUUGCCUUGGGAUCUUAAGCAAGCUACUUUCAUUUCUCUAUUUCAACUGGGCCUCUUUUUUUUUUUUUUCUUUUUUUAAGGAAUAUGCUUUGUGGAAUUAUUUUAAGAAGUAACUAAUACGAGAUCGGAAAGCACCUUUUCCUCUUAGCCAAAAUUGUGCACAAGAGAAUCUCCACCAUCUGGGCCAGUUCAAUGAAAGAAGUGAAUUUUCCUUUUUUUCUCUUUCCUUCCUCCUUUCUAUAAAGUUCAUUCACUUAGUAAAUGUUUACUGAGAAUUCAUUAUAUGCUAGAAGCUGUGAAGACUUCUGGGACAGCAAACAAGACAUAGUUACUCCCCGCUAUGAUUGGAAAAGCUAGAGCAUUAAGGGUCUGAAAAGAGAAGUUGAAGGAUCAGAGAAAAGUCACUAGCCCUCCUGUAGUGCUGGCACAGGUGGGCCAGAUGGAGCUUGCAAAGUCUUCCGGGAAGCCAGGCACUUCAGCUGUCAGAGUGGAACCGUCCAGCCUGGAGACUCUGUUGGUCAGCAGGGCCUGCACUUGAGAGAAGAGCUGGGUGUAAAGCAGGGGAGAGCAAGGACAUACGGAACCUGCCACCAGUAUGGCGGAGAGUGGGGACAAGCUGGGAUAUGCCAGCCUCUCUGCGUGCUUCUCCCAGAGCAUGCUGCUUUAAGUCCUAGUACCAAAUAGGGAGAGAAUCUACCUACCAAAUCUCAUGCCAGCUUCUUUUUUUUCCAACUCUAACAUGAAUCAUGCAAGAAAGGGGAUUCUGGGAACAGUAGUUCCAACUAGUCCAAAUUAACACCAUACAUAUGAGGAGCUGGCUAAAAAAGUGAUGAAAGUUCGCCAGGAGGCCAACACACAAUUGAAAGUGGAAAAAUCAAUGUUAAGAUUGUGAGCAAAAGUGCUUGUUUAGGUCACAAGCUGUUUGUAAGUCCUCAAGACUUCUCUAAGUGGUCUCGUGUGUCAGCGCUAGAAUUGUCCUACCCACGGCAACUGCUACAUAAUGUGAGGGUAGAAGUCAGCUGGUAAAUGUAAGGCCAAUACCCCAACACAGCAACCACAGGUGCAACAGUUUAGGAAGAUCACUGGGUUUUUAUAUCUCCGGGUGACACAACAGUUAUUAACAAUCACUUUAAAUUUUAAUUUUUUGUCACAUGCAGAUUUAUGAGGUAUGGAAUGCUCAUCUGUUCAAACAUUUGUUAAUGCUUCUUGUAUGCCACAGCAAAGAAAAGUGAAACAUCCUACUGGCCUCUGCAUGAACCAAACACACACCCUUCCACCAGCUUUUGCUUACCGUACAUCAAAUUCCCUGCCCGACCGUGCCAGAUUCCCCACAAGGUUUACAAGAAAUAAAACCUGGGGAUAAGGGAGAGAGAAAGAGCCACAUGACAAAGUCACAGGCUCUGAGGUUUCAUAGACAAUCCAGAAGAACUGGUCAUAACUCCUUAAAUUAAGGUGAUUUGGUUAAAAAUAGCAGAACUUCCAGGGAACUAGCUCCAAUCUAAAGGGGGAUUUAUAAUGAGGACAGUGGCUCAUCUCACGAGACACAAGGGCAGGAAUGCAGCCAGCCUUCAUCAGGGACGGAAACCGAGAAAUGAAGUCAGGAGCACCCCAGCCCAUUUCAUUUCUGCUUCUCUCUGUGCAUUUGCUCCUUCUCCCGCCAGGCUGUUGUCUCUGUUCCUCAAAGCACAAGAUGGAAUACAGCUGCCUCUCUUGAGUUUGAAGUUAUAGUUUGAAGCCAUUGGAGACUGACUUUCUUUAAGUCCUAAUGAUGUGGAUUAAGGCUGCCCCAGCUAGAGAAGCCCAAGGUGACCUGGCCUACAUGCCAAACUAUACGACCCAGUGGACUUUUUUUAUGGUAUGAAUUAGGACCGCCCCAGGGAGAGAAGCCCAGGGCAUCCUCACCUACAUGCUGAUCUAUAUGGCCAGAUUCGUAUCUAAAGUUAUAUGACCGCACAAUAACCAGACCCCAUCUGCACUGAAAUCAUUUAAUGACUUUUUACAUCAUCUUUUCUUUUCUCCAGUAAAAAUAAGUCACGUACCCGUGCCUUAUAAAAUUAGCCCUAACCCUCAACUCGGGGCAGCAGCAGGAGCUCUGACUGCCCAUGGGUCCUGUCCCCAUGCAGCAGCAGCAGGAGCUCUGACUGCCCAUGGGACCUGUCCCCAUGCAGCAGCAGCAGGAGCUCUAACCGCCCGUGAGUCCUGUCCCCACGCACCAGCUCUGCCUGCCCAUGGGUCCUGUCCCCAUGCCAGCAGGGGCAGCAGCAGCUGCUCUGCCUGCCCAUGGGCCCUGUCCCCAUGCUAUUCCACACUAUUCUCUAAAUAAAAGAGCGCUACUGCCAGAUCUUGAGAGUCUAAGAAAUCUUUCUUUCGACUCCUCGGCUCACCGACCCCGCAUCACUAAUACCAAAUAGGGUAAGAAUCUGAUUGGUUAAACUUGGAUUCAAGGUCCUUUCCUUGAACCAAUAAGCCUUGGUGGUGGGAGAAAGGGGGAACUUCAGUACAAACCUGCAGCCAGGGCCCCAUCUCAGUGAGUGGGGGAGCACCCGGUCUCAACACACUGACUUGACUUAUAGAGGAUACAAGGUUAAUCUAAUGCCAAUCAAGUGUAUGGAGAUAAAUGACUUCCUAGGGAGACUCCAAAAAUCAAGCCUACUCUUCAGCUUCCUACAGACAGUAACAGAAACAGCAGGAGCCAAUGCAAAGUCAGAGGCCUGAAGAUAUGAGCAUUGCGGGAACUGCGGUAAAGUCAGCACCAAUUAAUCAAUGUCCGAGAGUGUAGUAGACCUUGUUGAAGGCCUCCCUGAACCAUUUCCCCUGCUUCCUUGCUGUUAGAGCUCUGGUUUUGUUCAGGUAUCUAUCCUCCUCCGCUUGCUCCUGGGCUUGUGUGGAUACUGGC
Long non-coding RNA from Equus caballus (horse), 4935 nucleotides. NCBI's taxonomy places the organism in Eukaryota, Metazoa, Chordata, Mammalia, Perissodactyla, Equidae. The record is from Ensembl.